GACGAACGCUGGCGGCGUGCUUCACACAUGCAAGUCGAACGGGGCUCAUCCGGUGGCAACACUGGAGAAGGCCUAGUGGCGAACGGGUGAGUAACACGUGAGGAACCUGCCCCGAAGACCGGGAUAACAGCGGGAAACCGCUGCUAAUACCGGAUGCCCCCCACCAGGCCACAUGGCCAGGCGAGGAAAUGGGCUUCCAC
This 200-nucleotide ribosomal RNA is filed under the name uncultured bacterium. Its description in RNAcentral is "partial 16S ribosomal RNA". It matches the Rfam family "Bacterial small subunit ribosomal RNA", at positions 28 to 218 of the family's 1533-position model. The record is from RNAcentral.